This 379-nucleotide ribosomal RNA is filed under the name uncultured cyanobacterium. RNAcentral's name for it is "bacterial SSU rRNA". It matches the Rfam family "Bacterial small subunit ribosomal RNA", at positions 376 to 770 of the family's 1533-position model. Lineage: Bacteria; Bacillati; Cyanobacteriota. The record is from RNAcentral.
CGAAAGCCUGACGGAGCAACGCCGCGUGAGGGAUGAAGGCCUCUGGGCCGUAAACCUCUUUUAUCAAGGAAGAAGAUCUGACGGUACUUGAUGAAUAAGCCACGGCUAAUUCCGUGCCAGCAGCCGCGGUAAUACGGGAGUGGCAAGCGUUAUCCGGAAUUAUUGGGCGUAAAGCGUCCGCAGGCGGCCCAACAAGUCUGCUGUUAAAAAGUGGAGCUUAACUCCAUCAUGGCAGUGGAAACUGUUGGGCUCGAGUGUGGUAGGGGCAGAGGGAAUUCCCGGUGUAGCGGUGAAAUGCGUAGAUAUCGGGAAGAACACCAGUGGCGAAGGCGCUCUGCUGGGCCAUCACUGACGCUCAUGGACGAAAGCCAGGGGAGCG